Molecule: non-coding RNA, 144 nt
Organism: Gossypium hirsutum (cotton)
Lineage: Eukaryota; Viridiplantae; Streptophyta; Magnoliopsida; Malvales; Malvaceae
Source: Rfam
UGUUAAAAUUUUCAUCCAAUUCUAUUGUUAAAAAAUGGUGUGGUUGAUGAAAUAAUCAGAUAGCUACAAGUGACACACCAUGUGUACCUCAUCUUGAAAGAUAAGGACAAAUUUUAACAGUAGAAAUAGAUAGAAUUGUUAAUA